AGUGAACGCUGGCGGUAGGCCUAACACAUGCAAGUCGAACGGCAGCACAGUAAGAGCUUGCUCUUACGGGUGGCGAGUGGCGGACGGGUGAGGAAUACAUCGGAAUCUACUUUUUCGUGGGGGAUAACGUAGGGAAACUUACGCUAAUACCACAUACGACCUACGGGUGAAAGCAGGGGAUCUUCGGACCUUGCGCGAUUGAAUGAGCCGAUGUCGGACUAGCUAGUUGGCGGGGUAAAGGCCCACCAAGGCGACGAUCCGUAGCUGGUCUGAGAGGAUGAUCAGCCACACUGGAACUGAGACACGGUCCAGACUCCUACGGGAGGCAGCAGUGGGGAAUAUUGGACAAUGGGCGCAAGCCUGAUCCAGCCAUACCGCGUGGGUGAAGAAGGCCUUCGGGUUGUAAAGCCCUUUUGUUGGGAAAGAAAAGCAGCAGGUUAAUACCCCGCUGUUCUGACGGUACCCAAAGAAUAAGCACCGGCUAACUUCGUG
RNAcentral lists this ribosomal RNA (492 nucleotides) under uncultured bacterium. RNAcentral's name for it is "partial 16S ribosomal RNA". It matches the Rfam family "Bacterial small subunit ribosomal RNA", at positions 29 to 507 of the family's 1533-position model. The record is from RNAcentral.